ACCGUAGAUAGUUAUAAUAAAAACGUGAGGCUUAAAACCCCAAAUUGGAGAAUAAAUUCUCCUCAUGGUA
Molecule: transfer RNA, 70 nt
Filed under: Ophionotus victoriae
Lineage: Eukaryota; Metazoa; Echinodermata; Ophiuroidea; Amphilepidida; Ophiuridae
Description: tRNA-Leu
Source: RNAcentral